GAGAUGUAGGUCAGUGAUGAAGUACCCCUGGGAUCAAUCACCAGUGCCAAAAUAAUAGUAAUAAUAAUAAUAAUAACAACAACAAAACUAUGUUACGAGGCAUUAUCAGACAAAAGUCUUUUCUCAAACAGAAAAUCAAGAAAUGGCAGAAUAAGAAAAUGUUUAGAGGUAAAUAACAAGAGAAAGUAAGCAACAAGAAGAUUAAAUAAGUUAGAAUAGGUCAAAUGAACUUGAAACUGUUCAUUUGACCUAUUUUUCCAAAGAAGAUACACAAAGGGCCAAUAAGUACCUGAAGAUACUCAAUAUCACUAAUUGUUAAGGAAACAAAUCAAAACCACAAGAUACCACAUUAUAUCCAUAAGGAUAACUACUAUUAAAAAAUAACAAGCCAUGGGGCUGAGGUUGUGGCUCAGUGGUAGAACACUCACCUCCCACGUGCGAGACCCUGGGUUCGACCCUCAGCACCACAUAAAAAAAAUAAAUAAGUGAAAUAAAGGUGUUGUGUCCAACUACAACUAAAAAAUAAAUAUUUUUACAAAAUUAACAAGCCAAGAAUGGUGGUGCAUGCCUGUAAUCCAGGCUAUUCAGGAAGCUGAGGCAGGAGGAUUGUGAGUUCAAAGCCAGCCUUAGCAAAAGCAAGACACUAAACAACUCAGUGAGACCCUGUCUCUUAAAAAAAACAAAAACAAAAAAAAACAAGAUAGGGCUGAGGAUGUGGCUCAGUGGUUGAGUGCCCUGAGUUCAAUCCCCAGUAACCUUGCCCCCCCCCGCAAAAAAAAAAAAAAAACAGUUUGAGGCCAGCCUCAGCAACUUAGUGAGACCCUGUAUCAAAAUAAUAAAUAAAAAAUAAGAGGGUUGGGGGUGUUUUUCAGUGGUUAAGCACCCCUGGAUUCAAUCCCUGGUACCAAAAUAAAAUAAAAUAAAGGACUGGGGUUUUAACACAGUAGAGCACUUGCCCGGCACAUUAAAGGCCCUGGGCUUAGCCCCAGCACUGCAAAAACAACAACAACGAGUGUUAGUGAGGAUGCGG
RNAcentral lists this long non-coding RNA (1030 nucleotides) under Marmota monax (woodchuck). Lineage: Eukaryota; Metazoa; Chordata; Mammalia; Rodentia; Sciuridae. The record is from RNAcentral.